GCAGCCCUUCAGGUUGUCUCUGUGGCGCAAUCGGUUAGCGCGUUCGGCUGUUAACCGAAAGGUUGGUGGUUCAAGCCCACCCAGGGACGGCCGCUGCCUCCCAAGUGCUGGGAUUAAAGGCGUGCACCAUCCCCACCGGCCAGAAAACUGCCUUUAAGUGAGCAUAACUGUUAUGAAAUCGAGCAUACACUUGCUGACUCACACAGUGAAGAGAUGGGUGUUGCCAUUGUCACAUAAUGGUGUUUAUGUCAUGCUCUACUCUGAGCCCACUCUGCAAAUGUGUCUUCUACAGGGGUCCGGUGUUCCCAACUGUAGCCAUGUUCCUUUCUUGUUUUCUUGCCUACACAACAACCUUUCUCCCAGCUGUCUCCAAUGCUGACCUAGGGUAAUGUUGCCACAUGGGCUUGGCUCAGGGGGAGGUACAGCAGAGGACCACACACAGUGCACAGGCACACAGAUACUAUACAGCGUAUUUUGGGUGGAAAUAAGGCACUUAGAGUCCUCCAAAAGCUAAUUGUUUUCUGUGAUGAACUGGUCACUCAGAUCAAAGAAGACUGGCCAGUCUGGCUCUUGGAUAGUUCACUGUCAAACUGCUUGUCCAAAGGGAAGACCAAUUUUGAUUGUUCUUGUCAUUUUUGCUCCUCACCUCUCCUCUUUGCUCUUUGAUCUGGCAUAUAAGGUGUUUGCUAUAAACAAAGAGACCAAUACUCCCCCUUCCCAACAGUUGGUGGGCACCCAGAAAACUCUACAGUGUUCUUGACAGAAAGUAUGUGGGCUCUGUGAAUGAAAAUUCUCCUGUCUGAGAUACUCCAGUCACUGUGCUUUUCUUGCCCUUUGAAAACAUGCAGUGUCUCAGGGAAUUUGUGUUCAAUGAGAAAACGAGAGACCAAAAAUUAAAAUUAAUAAAAGUUUAAAGACUUGGGUCUGCUGAACCUACACAGAGAAAAAAG
RNAcentral lists this transfer RNA (950 nucleotides) under Cricetulus griseus (Chinese hamster). RNAcentral's name for it is "lncRNA (ENSCGRG00015032931.1)". The stretch from base 16 to 89 matches the Rfam family "tRNA". Lineage: Eukaryota; Metazoa; Chordata; Mammalia; Rodentia; Cricetidae. The record is from RNAcentral.